GUCGAACGGUAAGGCCCCUUCGGGGGUACACGAGUGGCGCACGGGUGAGUAACGCGUGGGUAAUCUGCCCUCGGGUCUGGGACAACUCCGGGAAACUGGAGCUAAUACCGGAUAAGACCACGGGACCCUCGGGUCCCGCGGAAAAAGGUGGCGCAAGCUACCGCCUGUUGAUGAGCCCGCGUCCCAUUAGCUUGUUGGUGGGGUAAUGGCCUACCAAGGCUUCGAUGGGUAGCUGGUCUGAGAGGAUGAUCAGCCACACUGGAACUGAGACACGGUCCAGACUCCUACGGGAGGCAGCAGUCGGGAAUUUUGGGCAAUGGGGGAAACCCUGACCCAGCAACGCCGCGUGAGGGAUGAAGGCCUUCGGGUCGUAAACCUCUGUCGGGAGGGAAGAACGCCGCAGAGAGUCACUACUCUGCGGUCUGACGGUACCUCCAAAGGAAGCACCGGCUAACUCCGUGCCAGCAGCCGCGGUAAUACGGAGGGUGCGAGCGUUGUUCGGAAUCAUUGGGCGUAAAGCGCGUGUAGGCGGCUUGGUAAGUCGGGUGUGAAAGCCCGGGGCUCAACCCCGGAAUUGCACUCGAAACUGCCUCGCUAGAGUCCCGGAGGGGAGAGCGGAAUUCCCGGUGUAGAGGUGAAAUUCGUAGAUAUCGGGGAGGAACACCAGCGGCGAANGCGGCUCUCUGGGACGGUGACUGACGCUG
RNAcentral lists this ribosomal RNA (704 nucleotides) under uncultured delta proteobacterium. RNAcentral describes it as "bacterial SSU rRNA". It matches the Rfam family "Bacterial small subunit ribosomal RNA", at positions 61 to 748 of the family's 1533-position model. Lineage: Bacteria; Deltaproteobacteria. The record is from RNAcentral.